AGGACGAACACUGGCGGCGUGCUUAACACAUGCAAGUCGAGCGAGGCCCCUCCUUCGGGAGGGUGUCCUAGCGGCGAACGGGUGAGUAACACGUGGGCAACCUGCCCUCAGCUCUGGGAUAACCCCGGGAAACCGGGGCUAAUACCGGAUACGACCUCCACGGGCAUCUGCGGAGGUGGAAAGGUUUUUCUGGCUGAGGAUGGGCCCGCGGCCUAUCAGCUAGUUGGUGGGGUAAUGGCCUACCAAGGCAACGAUCAGUA
RNAcentral lists this ribosomal RNA (260 nucleotides) under uncultured bacterium. RNAcentral's name for it is "partial small subunit ribosomal RNA". It matches the Rfam family "Bacterial small subunit ribosomal RNA", at positions 26 to 285 of the family's 1533-position model. The record is from RNAcentral.